This is a long non-coding RNA of Ochotona princeps (American pika), 365 nucleotides long. RefSeq lists it as uncharacterized. The record is from RefSeq and is a predicted model, not a curated record. NCBI's taxonomy places the organism in Eukaryota, Metazoa, Chordata, Mammalia, Lagomorpha, Ochotonidae. The transcript is spliced from 3 exons.
UUCCUCUAGGGCACAUUAGUCCAAGCAGUAAAGAAAGGGGAGUGGAUCCUGUUGGAUGAAAUUAAUUUGGCUGCUCCUGAAACGUUAGAAUGUCUGAGUGGUUUAUUGGAAGGAUCCUCUGGCUCCCUGGUGUUGCUGGAUCGAGGAGACACAGAGCCACUGGUUCGUCAUCCUGACUUUCGCUUAUUUGCUUGCAUGGAUCCAGCUACUGAUGUGGGCAAAAGAAAUCUCCCCCCAGGAAUAAGAAACAGGUUCACAGAAAUUUAUGUAGAAGAAUUAGAAAAUAAAGAAGACUUACAGAUUCUUAUAGUGGAUUAUCUGAAAGGACUGAGUGUGAGCAAGAGUACAGUUCAAGGAAUUAUAAA